CCUACGGGAGACAGCAGUGAGGAAUAUUGGUCAAUGGGCGCGAGCCUGAACCAGCCAAGUAGCGUGAAGGAUGACUGCCCUACGGGUUGUAAACUUCUUUUAUAAAGGAAUAAAGUGCGGCACGUGUGCCUUUUCGUAUGUACCUUAUGAAUAAGGAUCGGCUAACUCCGUGCCAGCAGCCGCGGUAAUACGGAGGAUCCGAGCGUUAUCCGGAUUUAUUGGGUUUAAAGGGUGCGCAGAGGGGUUGUUAAGUCAGCUGUGAAAGUUUGCGGCUCAACCGUAAAAUUGCCGUUGAUACUGGCAGCCUUGAGUAGAGUUGAAGUAGGCGGAAUUCGUGGUGUAGCGGUGAAAUGCAUAGAUAUCGCGAAGAACUCCGAUUGCGAAGGCAGCCUAC
This 394-nucleotide ribosomal RNA is filed under the name uncultured bacterium. Its description in RNAcentral is "partial 16S ribosomal RNA". It matches the Rfam family "Bacterial small subunit ribosomal RNA", at positions 338 to 729 of the family's 1533-position model. The record is from RNAcentral.